Molecule: non-coding RNA, 684 nt
Organism: Delphinapterus leucas (beluga whale)
Lineage: Eukaryota; Metazoa; Chordata; Mammalia; Artiodactyla; Monodontidae
Source: RefSeq, a predicted model, not a curated record
UCUUUUGUAAAAUGGAGACAUUUCAAAUGGUUCUUGUGAAAAUUCAGUGAGCUCACACUUGUGAAAGGACUGGACUCUGACCAGUACAUAGCAGCUGCUCAGCGCGCGUCAGAAGCGGGGCCUGGGGUGGUACGGGGGGCACAGCGCGGUAGGGUGAUGUGCUCCAUGCUGCAUUUUGUGUAGACCAGGCCUCACGGGAUUGCAAAGGAGCAUCAAAAUCCCAGAGUUCUAAGAGCGAGAAAAAACCACUCGAAAUCAUCUUUCUGUGCGGACGGUUGUUGCCCUGAGUCUAGCACGUGUUUUAUUUAAUCCAUGUAUAAAAAAAAAUAAGGCAGUAUUUACAGACUAAGAAACUGCUCAUAAAAACUUGAACUUUCAUCUUCUUUUGAAAUGUAUGGCCGUCCGUCCACACCGGUGUGCAUUCUGAGUCAUCUGGAUCUGCUGCAGUGGGGCCGUGACUGCUGCCUUCAGACCGGACAGAGGCUCUUCGGGGAUGGCACCAGGAUCCAUUCAGGAUUUCGAGAAGAUGGUAGACACCGAUUAUGAGUGCGCAGAGAAUGAUUUGUGACUAUACAUUUACUCAAGCCAUCCCUUCGUGCAUCCAGCCAAGAAAGCAAAGUCUGUUCCCUGUAUUUUCACGUAUCUUAUGUUAUUCAUGAUAAUAAAAUUAAAUAGUACUUUUAA